This 1067-nucleotide long non-coding RNA is filed under the name Triticum aestivum (bread wheat). RNAcentral's name for it is "long non-coding RNA (TAES_LNC012171)". The record is from RNAcentral. Lineage: Eukaryota; Viridiplantae; Streptophyta; Magnoliopsida; Poales; Poaceae.
AACACGCAGAUGUUUGGAUGUCUUGUCCGUGCCAUGAACGGAUGAACCAUGAUGCGCCGUCCGUUGUCGUCGCUGGUGCUGGUGCGUGGUGAGUUCGUGUGGCUGAUUAAUGAUAACUUGUACUCCGGAGUAGCUAGCUACUUAUUAGAUCAGCAAUCCGGCAUACGCAAAACAGAAUUUCGGUAAAUUUCCUAGACGAAAUUGCACAACUACUUUAGGGAAGAUAAGUCAACGCAUUUCUUUUUGAGAAUAGAUAAGUCGACACAUUACAGCAGUUGAUCCAUAAAUCUCCUUAUUACAUACAGGCUAUGUAAAAUAUACUCACACAAUGACUGUAUAGUACUCUGAAAUACUAACUCAGGCCUCUCCGCGCGCCUCCGCUUCCACCGGAUGCCGUGGAACGGCAGGAGGGGCAUCAAGCGCAGCACAGGAAGUCAAGGAUGCUGGAGCAGCAGUCGUAGCAGCAAGAACAGCUGCAAACCAAGCGCAAAUUAGGCACGACCAAUCAAUCAAUCGGAGAGCGGAGAGGGCCGAGCGGGGCAAGAAUAACACAGGAGUCUCAGUCGACCAACCAAUCAAAUCUAGUUAGCACACACACGUACCAUCCGUCGAGGCUCUUGUCGUGGAGAUCGUCGGUCGCGGACAUGGACUGAGCAGGCGGGGGAUCCAUGGCCAAGUCGGUCUCUCCGCGUCUGUGGACGGGCGACGAUGAUGAUGUGGGGAAGAAGGCAACGGCGGAAUGGUGCUGCAAGGCAAAGGGCAGAGGCGAGGGGUAUGGAGGCAGUUAAGCUGGAAGGGAACGCAAGUAAAUGACGCACAUGGACUGGGCGGCGGUACCGGUGUAAAGCUCUUGUGCCGGGAUUUAAGGCUUAAGGUAUGGCAUGCCCCGUGUACGACCGGGCGUGUCAUCCGAUCAUUUGUGCGCCACAAGCCACUGAUUGCGCACACACAUUAUCUAUCUUCAUUCUCCGUGUGUUUCUUCUUACCUUAAAGUGGGUCAUGCUGCCAGCUUGGCCUCCACCGUCCAAUGAGUGAAGCAAUUAGCGGAGUUGAAGAAGGAAUUCGUC